Molecule: unclassified non-coding RNA, 637 nt
Filed under: Hevea brasiliensis (rubber tree)
Lineage: Eukaryota; Viridiplantae; Streptophyta; Magnoliopsida; Malpighiales; Euphorbiaceae
Source: RNAcentral
AAGAGUUGUGGUUGUGGAUGAUUCGAUUGUUAGAGGGACAACCUCGUCCAAGAUUGUGAGGCUGUUAAAGGAGGCAGGGGCAAAAGAAGUUCAUAUGAGGAUUGCAAGCCCUCCGAUUAUAGCUUCUUGUUAUUACGGAGUGGACACUCCCAGCUCAGAGGAGUUGAUAUCUAACAGAAUGAGUGUGGAGGAGAUUAGGGAGUACAUUGGAUCGGAUUCACUAGCCUUUCUCCCAAUUGAGAGCUUGAAUAAGCUGUUAGGCAGUGAUUCUAAAAGUUAUUGCUAUGCUUGCUUUUCAGGCAACUAUCCUGUCGAGCCAACGGGCAAAGUUAAAAGGAUUGGGGACUUCAUGGACGAUGGAUUAAGUGGGGAUAUGGACUCCAUUGAUGGUGGUUGGCUACCAGGAAGUAGUAAAGUUCAGAAGAAGAUCAUCUUGAAUGAAGUUAGAACCAGUUAAAUUUUACAUGUUGCUUUAGUUUUUGCUUUGGAUUUUUCAUGCUUUAACUAUAGAAAAUUCAAAUGCUUUUCAAGUUUCUUUUUUUUCUCUCCCUCCAAGUCAUUCUUCUGUACUUGUAUUUGGGAUGUUACAUGAGAUUAUCAACUAAUCAGAAUGGUUAACUAUUGGACCAUAGUAUUU